Molecule: long non-coding RNA, 484 nt
Filed under: Homo sapiens (human)
Lineage: Eukaryota; Metazoa; Chordata; Mammalia; Primates; Hominidae
Description: CYP1B1 antisense RNA 1
Source: RNAcentral
AAAGUGAGAAAAGUAGUGACAACUUGAAGCUGGUAGUUGAGGAAGAAGGAGAACUUCUGAACCCAUGAAGAGAGUAUACCCGGUUUGGGUGGGCAGGACUCCAAAGCCUUUAGGAUCGAUGGACCAGAACAGAGAAAUGAAAAUGCAACAAGAACAGCUGUGGGGAAAAGGCAGAAGGCAGCACUGAGAAGUGAAGGAAUAUUUGGGAGGAUCAGAAGCUUGGUCCUGAUUUUGCCAUCAACAGGAACUUGAUGACUUCAAGGGAGUCCCCAAACCCUGGGUUUCUGUUUUCUCAACUCUAACAUGAGGGGCUAGAUGCAUCUGGUUUAGUUAGUCUCCAUGAUGGUUUAGUUCGUCUCCAUGAUCCUGUGAAUUUCAGAUGUUGAAAAUCUUCGGAAAAGCCCUGAAAGAUGAACAGUGGUCUCAAAUAGUCAAGACCCCCUGCUGGGAGGAGCUUCUAUCCUGCUCUGUGGAAGAAAUGGGC